GACGGAGGGUGCAAGCGUUAUUCGGAAUCAUUGGGCGUAAAGAGUGUGUAGGCGGCCGGUUAAGUCAGGUGUGAAAGCCCAGGGCUCAACCCUGGAAGUGCACUUGAAACUGGUCGGCUUGAGUUCGGGAGAGGGUAGCGGAAUUCCUGGUGUAGAGGUGAAAUUCGUAGAUAUCAGGAGGAACACCGGUGGCGAAGGCGGCUACCUGGACCGAAACUGACGCUGAGACACGAAAGCGUGGGGAGCAAACAGG
This 253-nucleotide ribosomal RNA is filed under the name uncultured bacterium. RNAcentral describes it as "partial 16S ribosomal RNA". It matches the Rfam family "Bacterial small subunit ribosomal RNA", at positions 524 to 776 of the family's 1533-position model. The record is from RNAcentral.